RNAcentral lists this unclassified non-coding RNA (162 nucleotides) under plant metagenome. Its description in RNAcentral is "partial contains small subunit ribosomal RNA, internal transcribed spacer 1, and 5.8S ribosomal RNA". The record is from RNAcentral.
UUUCCGUAGGUGAACCUGCGGAAGGAUCAUUAACACUUGGGUUUAUCCCGAAUCUCAACAACCUGUGAACAUGAACAACAUUUUUUCUAACCACACACAACCUAUGAACUAAAGUAGAGUCCUAACAAAAUACAACUUUUAGCAAUGGAUAUCUUGGUUCCC